AAAUUGUUGGAAAUGGUGGAACGUAAAACGCGCACUCUUUCCUUUCUCAGCCUUGAGUUGGCCAAGUUGGAGGACCUAUUUUGAGGUUCUGCUAUGCACCACAAUGAUAUACUGAGAAUCUUGCGUAAAUAUGUAUAAAAGAUGCAGGUAUAGGUGAAAGGGCAGUUUAGUUAAGUUAUUACAUAAUUUGUAGCAUGGCUGCUUGAGUGCUGGAUCAUCAUUUGAUGCUGGAGGAUCCUGACCAAAAAUCAUCUCGCAGCUCAUAUCAUCAAAAUCUGCAGUUUAAAAUGCAUCACAGUUUUUAUUAACUAUUCUGACGGAUGUGCUUUGUUCUGCUUCGUCACGGUAACUACUUAACCAAUAUGGAGUGUGAAUAGUAGUGGUCUUGUGCUUCUCAAAAGUGAUUGGCACGUGGAAGUGUGACUAAUAUUCAACUUUGAUGGUUUUAAUGAUACAAUUUAUAAUCACAUUGUGAUUUUAUAUGGGUUGGUUGUGGAAUAAUGAUUGGCUUCAUGGGAACUAGAAGAGUUCAGUCUCUUUCAUUAUGAGUUGAUACAUGGAAUUAAUCAUAAGAUCGUUAUACCCAAUUUACGGCCUAGAAUGCAGGUGUUAACAUCACAAUUUCAUUUAUUCAUUUCAUGUUUAUGUUAUUUUACAUGCUAGUAUUCUCAGUUGAGGUUGGAUGGGUCCACUUGCAGUUUUGCACCCUCAGUGGUUAUGCAUGCGGGCCCUUCAUUGACAUAAUGAGCAUGAGCUCCACAUUCUAGUGCAGGCAUUCCCAGAGAAUCCUUAAUAAAGGCUUGAGAUGGCAUCUUGCAUAGAUUGAUGCACAUCCCUAUGCAAUUGCUCUGCUCUAGAAACCUACAAAAAUGUUUAAGCAAUGUUAGAGAAUUACCUGGAUGAUCUAAGGGUGAUGAAAUCUUUAAUGAUGAUUUUGAUAUUGACGAUGAUUAUGAUGAUGAUGACCAUCAUGAUAUCAAUGGAGAAGAAGAGAGUCCAACACACAAUCAUUGGAGCAGGUUAUUCACGGCAUGAAAGUGUCUUAAGUUGGUGAGGUGGGUUAAACUGUAGAGCUAAUUAAAUUCGAGGGAGAUGUUAAAGUUACCUGCAUUUCUUUACAUGGACUACGUUCUUUUCUCUUCUUCCAUUGAGCUCCGAUACCCUGACCUUGUGGUAUUAAAUAAAGAAUGUUAGAUUUUUUAUUCACAAAGUUGAUCAGAAAAAUCAUAUGCCUGCUUUCAUGUUUAUGAAUUUCAUGACACAAGUUGUAUGGCUUGCUGUUGCGUUCUUAAGGUUGUGUUACCCCCCAUACUAUCAUUGGCUUUCUGUACAUUUAUUGAUGGAUUUGAAUGAAACUUCGUUAUGAGUAA
Molecule: long non-coding RNA, 1370 nt
Organism: Theobroma umbraticum
Lineage: Eukaryota; Viridiplantae; Streptophyta; Magnoliopsida; Malvales; Malvaceae
Source: RefSeq, a predicted model, not a curated record